GCAUCUGGAUUUUUCCGAGUCAGCUGAGCAAUUACAAUCAGAACCAAUUGCAAGUGCCAAGAGAAGCAGCGCAGGGGUACCUUUGCACUUGGGUUUAUUGGCCGGUACUGUUGUCCUGACUAGCAUCGGUGUACUUGUCUACUUAAAGCGCUCGAAAUUGUGAGGUUAUGCUAAAUUAUCUGCCAAAAACAACAUAAUAUGAAUCGUAGCAUUGAUUAAUUAGGCAAGGCAAUGAAAGUUAAUCGGGGGUAGAAGGU
Molecule: long non-coding RNA, 257 nt
Filed under: Gossypium barbadense (sea-island cotton)
Lineage: Eukaryota; Viridiplantae; Streptophyta; Magnoliopsida; Malvales; Malvaceae
Description: long non-coding RNA (GBAR_LNC007850)
Source: RNAcentral